RNAcentral lists this unclassified non-coding RNA (335 nucleotides) under soil metagenome. Its description in RNAcentral is "partial contains 5.8S ribosomal RNA, internal transcribed spacer 2, and large subunit ribosomal RNA". The stretch from base 1 to 120 matches the Rfam family "5.8S ribosomal RNA", at positions 35 to 154 of the family's 154-position model. The record is from RNAcentral.
GAUGAAGAACGCAGCGAAAUGCGAUACGUAAUGUGAAUUGCAGAAUUCAGUGAAUCAUCGAAUCUUUGAACGCACAUUGCGCCCAUUAGCAUUCUAGUGGGCAUGCCUGUUCGAGCGUCAUUUCAACCCUUAAGCCCUGUUGCUUAGCGUUGGGAGCCUACAGUACUGUAGCUCCCCAAAGUUAGUGGCGGAGUCGGUUUCACACUCUAGACGUAGUAAUUUUUUCUCGUCUGUAGUUGAGCCGGUCCCCUGCCGUAAAACACCCAAUUUAUCAAGGUUGACCUCGGAUCAGGUAGGAAUACCCGCUGAACUUAAGCAUAUCAAUAAGCGGAGGA